Molecule: long non-coding RNA, 594 nt
Organism: Sitophilus oryzae (rice weevil)
Lineage: Eukaryota; Metazoa; Arthropoda; Insecta; Coleoptera; Curculionidae
Exons: 2
Source: RefSeq, a predicted model, not a curated record
GAGUCUAAAAGGAGGAGGCGAAUCGAACGCAAAAAUUAUGGGCCCAGUUUUUGAGAUCUAAAUGAAGUUCGAAAAUCGCCGUUAGGGGCGCUUGUGAUGAUUGGGAUACUAGAAAUACACAGCUUCUUAUGGCAAGAAUAACUAUUUUGUUAUAAAUUAUAGAGCCAAGUUAAUAUUUGGGCAUAUUUUUACCAGAGUUAGCUUUUAGAAACGUGGUUUUUCUAAUUGAGCAAUGUGCGUGGCUAAAAUUGUGAAUACAAAACCUUAAAUUUGAGUUUGAAAAUGCAUACACGACCGAAGAAACAUAUAAGCUGCUAAAAUAAAUCUUCCCUAGAACUGUUGUACAAAAAAGAUAGAAGUUCCAGCAACAAAUUUAUCACCAGUUCAACCUUUGAUUUGAUGUAAACAGUAAUUGUUUCUUGAUGAGAAAUGCGAAUGAAAUAGUUUAUGGUGUGAUUGUGUUAGUGUUUUAUUAAUAGUUUUGUUGAUGCAGUUUAAAGGUUCAUAGUUUUUCAUUAAAACAUUUGAAAUUGACAUGUUUACAUGCAGUUUAGUGUGAUACCAUUUUAAUAAACAUUAAAAUCUUUCGAACUA